UGUCUUUAUGAGACAUUUAAUAAGACAGUUUGGGUCGGCUCUGUCAAGGUCACAGAUCAGCCAGGUCAUUAGAAAAUAGCACUUAGUGCUGCACUUUAAGGUUUGCAGACAGGCAUCUAAAGCCCUCUUUCUUACCAUCUUCUUACACCUUCCUCCCCAAUCACAGUGGCCUCUCGGCUGCCCCGUGAACAAAGCCCUCCAUCAGCUUUGAGUAUUCUUUCUGACGGUCCCCCAUGCCUCGCUGCUGAUCUCCCUGGCUUCCUUUAAGCUCCGACUAAACUCUUGUCUUUCACAGGAAACCUUUCCCAAUGCCUCUUAGUUGCAGUGUCUUCCCUCUACAUCUUGUAUUUUGUUUGCAAGCUGUCUCCCCAUUAGAUUGUAAGCUUCUUGAAAGUAGGGACUUUCUUUUUCCCCUUUUUUGUAUUGCCAGUGCUUAGCACAUAGUAGGUGCUUAAUGUUGAUUGACUGAUACUGAUAUUACAUACCAUCUACAUUUAUAGAUUGUUUUCUUUUUCUUAACUACAAUUAUAUGCCAAAAUACUUGACAAAAUCACAAUUUCAGAAGUGGGUGGCACCACAUAUGUUGCAGUCCAACCUCUUAUUUUUAUUUACAAACAUUUAUAAAGCUCCUACUACUCUGGAAGCCUGUGCUGUGUUGGGGAAGCUGCCAAGCUUUGUUAUCACCUCUGCCUUCAGGUUGCUUUUGGUCUAGGAGACGAGAAAGCAGGAGGGGGAGGGGAAAGGGUCCAGACCCAGUGAAGGCCUUGCGUUGGCCACUGAGGGAGUGGAGUAUACUUCUACUUCACCACCUGUUGUGCUUAUGGUAAAAGUGUUUGUUUCAGGACCGAACCAGAGUUGAAACAUCUACAAGUAAAAUAUGAGGAACUUAAAGAAAGAAAAUCUUCUCUCACAGAAGCAGCAUGGUUUUUAUCUAAUUUGAAACAGCUUCAUCAUGAUUAUGCAGCUCUUAAAAGGAAAACCCCAACAGAGAGAGAAAAAUAUGACCUGUCCAGCUUGCCAGCUCUGCUGUUUGAAGCGAGAGGCAUUUCAAGAGCGGCACAACACCUGAAAAAGAUCAACUGUCACCUUCAACAGCUCGUUGACCACAAAUGAGAGGGAACCUGCCUGAUGUAUACCUUGGAAUAAACUUUUUUAAAUUUA
Molecule: long non-coding RNA, 1161 nt
Organism: Vombatus ursinus (common wombat)
Lineage: Eukaryota; Metazoa; Chordata; Mammalia; Diprotodontia; Vombatidae
Exons: 2
Source: RefSeq, a predicted model, not a curated record